UCCGAGUUGACCCCGGCAGUCUCCCAUGAGUCCCCGCCAUUACGCGCUGGCAACAUGGAACGAGGGUUGCGCUCGUUGCGGGACUUAACCCAACAUCUCACGACACGAGCUGACGACAGCCAUGCACCACCUGUAUACCGACCACAAGGGGGGCCGUAUCUCUACGGCUUUCCGGUAUAUGUCAAACCCAGGUAAGGUGGGGAUGACGUUGACGUCAUAACC
Molecule: unclassified non-coding RNA, 222 nt
Filed under: uncultured Actinomycetes bacterium
Lineage: Bacteria; Bacillati; Actinomycetota; Actinomycetes
Description: uncultured actinobacterium contains 16S-23S intergenic spacer region
Source: RNAcentral